GAUUAUGGCUCAGGAUGAACGCUAGCUACAGGCUUAACACAUGCAAGUCGAGGGGCAGCAUUGGAGUAGCAAUACUCAGAUGGCGACCGGCGCACGGGUGAGUAACACGUAUCCAACCUGCCGCUUACUCGGGGAUAGCCUUUCGAAAGAAAGAUUAAUACCCGAUGGUAUAAAGAGUUCGCAUGUUCUCUUUAUUAAAGAAUUUCGGUAAGCGAUGGGGAUGCGUUCCAUUAGAUUGUUGGCGGGUAACGGCCCACCAAGUCUACGAUGGAUAGGGGUUCUGAGAGGAAGGUCCCCCACAUUGGAACUGAGACACGGUCCAAACUCCUACGGGAGGCAGCAGUGAGGAAUAUUGGUCAAUGGACGAGAGUCUGAACCAGCCAAAGUAGCGUGAAGGAUGACUGCCCUAUGGGUUGUAAACUUCUUUUAUAAGGGAAUAAAGUGAGGGACGUGUCCCUUUUUGUAUGUACCCUAUGAAUAAGGAUCGGCUAACUCCGUGCCAGCCGCCGC
RNAcentral lists this ribosomal RNA (510 nucleotides) under uncultured bacterium. Its description in RNAcentral is "bacterial SSU rRNA". It matches the Rfam family "Bacterial small subunit ribosomal RNA", at positions 15 to 518 of the family's 1533-position model. The record is from RNAcentral.